GACGAACGCUGGCGGCGUGCCUAACACAUGCAAGUCAGGGAGAAAGAGGUAGCAAUAUCUCGAGUAAACCGGCGAACGGGUGCGUAACGCGUAGGCAACCUUCCUUGUGGACGGGGAUAACCCCGGGAACCGGGGAGUAAUACCGACUGUUAUUCAGUGGCGAGCAUUGUUCGGUUGUAAUAAAAAGGACCCGGAAACGGGACGGCCACUGGGAGUGGGCCGUCGCGUCCC
This 231-nucleotide ribosomal RNA is filed under the name uncultured bacterium. Its description in RNAcentral is "partial 16S ribosomal RNA". It matches the Rfam family "Bacterial small subunit ribosomal RNA", at positions 28 to 241 of the family's 1533-position model. The record is from RNAcentral.